CAGCCGCCACGGUAACACCGAGGGUGCAAGCGUUAAUCGGAAUUACUGGGCGUAAAGCGCGCGUAGGUGGUUUGUUAAGUUGGAUGUGAAAGCCCCGGGCUCAACCUGGGAACUGCAUCCAAAACUGGCAAGCUAGAGUACGGUAGAGGGUGGUGGAAUUUCCUGUGUAGCGGUGAAAUGCGUAGAUAUAGGAAGGAACACCAGUGGCGAAGGCGACCACCUGGACUGAUACUGACACUGAGGUGCGAAAGCGUGGGGAGCAAACAGGAUUAGAUACCCCCGUAGUCCCUGUCUCUUAUAC
This 301-nucleotide ribosomal RNA is filed under the name uncultured bacterium. Its description in RNAcentral is "partial 16S ribosomal RNA". It matches the Rfam family "Bacterial small subunit ribosomal RNA", at positions 509 to 807 of the family's 1533-position model. The record is from RNAcentral.